GCGUGCAGGAAGAAGGCCUUCGGGUUGUAAACUGCUUUUGUACGGAACGAAAAGGUCUGCCCUAAUACGGCGGGCCCAUGACGGUACCGUAAGAAUAAGCACCGGCUAACUACGUGCCAGCAGCCGCGGUAAUACGUAGGGUGCGAGCGUUAAUCGGAAUUACUGGGCGUAAAGCGUGCGCAGGCGGUUGUGUAAGACAGUUGUGAAAUCCCCGGGCUCAACCUGGGAAUUGCAUCUGUGACUGCACAGCUAGAGUACGGUAGAGGGGGAUGGAAUUCCGCGUGUAGCAGUGAAAUGCGUAGAUAUGCGGAGGAACACCGAUGGCGAAGGCAAUCCCCUGGACCUGUACUGACGCUCAUGCACGAAAGCGUGGGGAGCAAACAGGAUUAGAUACUCUGGUAGUCCACGCCCUAAACGAUGUCAACUGGUUGUUGGGUGCAUUAGUACUCAGUAACGAAGCUAACGCGUGAAGUUGACCGCCUGGGGAGUACGGCCGCAAGGUU
This 503-nucleotide ribosomal RNA is filed under the name uncultured bacterium. RNAcentral's name for it is "bacterial SSU rRNA". It matches the Rfam family "Bacterial small subunit ribosomal RNA", at positions 399 to 895 of the family's 1533-position model. The record is from RNAcentral.